This 387-nucleotide unclassified non-coding RNA is filed under the name soil metagenome. RNAcentral describes it as "partial contains 5.8S ribosomal RNA, internal transcribed spacer 2, and large subunit ribosomal RNA". The stretch from base 1 to 120 matches the Rfam family "5.8S ribosomal RNA", at positions 35 to 154 of the family's 154-position model. The record is from RNAcentral.
GAUGAAGAACGCAUCGAAAUGCGAUAAGUAAUGUGAAUUGCAGAAUUCAGUGAAUCAUCGAAUCUUUGAACGCACCUUGCACCCUUUGGCAUUCCGAAGGGUAUGCUCGUUUGAGUGUCAUUGUACUCUCACACUCUCCGAUCCUAUGGAUUCGGGGAGCGGUGGACUUGGGUGUUGCUGCCUUUCCCUGUGGCUCACCUCAAAUGCGUCAGUGCACCUCUUGGUUGGACAUAGUACGGCGUGAUAAGUGUCUUCGCCGGCACCUCGCAAGAGGGUGGCCGAUCGGGAGCUCUGCGCUUUCAAACCGUCUUCGGACAAUUUCUGACAUCUUGACCUCAAAUCGAGUAGGACUACCCGCUGAACUUAAGCAUAUCAAUAAGCGGAGGA